Regulatory RNA element from Ruminococcaceae bacterium D16, 181 nucleotides. It matches the Rfam family "malK-I RNA". Lineage: Bacteria; Bacillati; Bacillota; Clostridia; Eubacteriales; Oscillospiraceae. The record is from Rfam.
UUGCAGGCCGGAGCGCUACUCCAUUUCAAUAGCCAUCCGGACCAGAAAAAAGGAGGAAAAUAAUUGCCGCCGGCCGGCGGUGCGGCAGUGUGGAGACCUGCCGUAAUCCUGUCAGGGUUUCGCUCUCUGGCAGGGAGGUACGCGAGCAGAGGCGAGCGUACUACGGCCUGAGCCCAUGUCU